CGCGGUAAUACAUAGGUUGCAAGCGUUAUCCGGAUUUACUGGGCGUAAAGCAAGCGCAGGUGGGCUAACAAGUCUGGUGUUAAAUGCGAUAGCUUAACUAUCGUAUGCAUGGGAAACUGUUAGUCUAGAGUACAGUAAGGUGUUUUGGAACUCCAUGUGGAGCGGUGGAAUGCGUAGAUAUAUGGAAGAACACCAGUGGCGAAAGCGAAAACAUUGGCUGUAACUGACACUUAGGCUUGAAAGCGUGGGGAGCGAAUAGGAUUAGAUACCCUAGUAGUCCACGCCGUAAACGAUGGAUAUUAAAUAUUGGUCCUAGUUGGAUCAGUAUUGUAGCUAACGCGAUAAAUAUCCCGCCUGGGUAGUACACUCGUAAGAGUGAAACUCAAACGGAAUUGACGGGGACCCGCACAAGUGGUGGAUUAUGUUGUUUAAUUCGACGGUACACGUGGAACCUUACCUAGUCUUGACAUCCCUGGCAAAGCUAUAGAAAUAUAGUGGAGGUUAACCGGGUGACAGGUGGUGCAUGGCUGUCGUCAGCUCGUGUCGUGAGAUGUUGGGUUAAGUCCCGCAACGAGCGCAACCCUUUUUGAUAGUUAUCUCAUCUAUCGAUACUGCCGAUGUAAAUCGGAGGAAGGUGGGGAUGACGUCAAGUCAUCAUGUCCUUUAUGACUAGGGCUACAAACGUAAUACAAUGGAUGGUACAAACAGCAGCGAACCCGU
This 720-nucleotide ribosomal RNA is filed under the name Mycoplasmatales bacterium. Its description in RNAcentral is "bacterial SSU rRNA". It matches the Rfam family "Bacterial small subunit ribosomal RNA", at positions 516 to 1258 of the family's 1533-position model. The record is from RNAcentral. Lineage: Bacteria; Bacillati; Mycoplasmatota; Mollicutes; Mycoplasmatales.